This 250-nucleotide ribosomal RNA is filed under the name uncultured Pseudoclavibacter sp. RNAcentral describes it as "partial 16S ribosomal RNA". It matches the Rfam family "Bacterial small subunit ribosomal RNA", at positions 89 to 339 of the family's 1533-position model. Lineage: Bacteria; Bacillati; Actinomycetota; Actinomycetes; Micrococcales; Microbacteriaceae. The record is from RNAcentral.
GGAUUAGUGGCGAACGGGUGAGUAACACGUGAGCAACGUGCCCGAAACUCUGGAAUAACCACCGGAAACGGUGGCUAAUACUGGAUAUGUGCCAGGGAGGCAUCUCCUCUGGUUGGAAAGAUUUUUCGGUUUCGGAUCGGCUCACGGCCUAUCAGCUUGUUGGCGGGGUAAAGGCCCACCAAGGCGACGACGGGUAGCCGGCCUGAGAGGGUGACCGGCCACACUGGGACUGAGACACGGCCCAGACUCC